RNAcentral lists this ribosomal RNA (565 nucleotides) under uncultured Glomeromycotina. RNAcentral's name for it is "SSU rRNA". It matches the Rfam family "Eukaryotic small subunit ribosomal RNA", at positions 548 to 1114 of the family's 1831-position model. The record is from RNAcentral. Lineage: Eukaryota; Fungi; Glomeromycota.
UUGGAGGGCAAGUCUGGUGCCAGCAGCCGCGGUAAUUCCAGCUCCAAUAGCGUAUAUUAAAGUUGUUGCAGUUAAAAAGCUCGUAGUUGAAUUUCGGGAUCGACGGGUCGGUCGCGCCUCUGGUGUGUACUGGCCCUGUCGGUUUCUCCCUUCUGACGAACCACGAUGUCAUUAAUUUGGUGUCGUGGGAAAUCAGGACUGUUACUUUGAAAAAAUUAGAGUGUUUAAAGCAGGCAUUCGCUUGAAUACAUUAGCACGGAAUAAUGAAAUAGGACGUUUGAUCUUAUUUUGUUGGUUUCUAAGAUCGACGUAACGAUUAAUAGGGAUAGUUGGGGGCAUUAGUAUUCAAUUGUCAGAGGUGAAAUUCUUGGAUUUAUUGAAGACUAACUACUGCGAAAGCAUUUGCCAAGGAUGUUUUCAUUAAUCAAGAACGAAAGUUAGGGGACCGAAGACGAUCAGAUACCGUCGUAGUCUUAACCAUAAACUAUGCCGACUAGGGAUCGGAUGAUGUUAAUUUUUUAAUGACUCAUUCGGCGCCUUACGGGAAACCAAAGUGUUUGGGUUC